This 322-nucleotide ribosomal RNA is filed under the name Arrhipis anitrae. RNAcentral's name for it is "partial 12S ribosomal RNA". Lineage: Eukaryota; Metazoa; Arthropoda; Insecta; Coleoptera; Eucnemidae. The record is from RNAcentral.
ACUAAUAGUUAUUUACUUGAAAUCUAAAAUAUAUGGCGGUGUCUUAUCUAUUCAGAGGAACCUGUUUCAUAAUUGAUAAUCCACGAUUUGAUUUACUUUAAUUAUUAAUUUGUAUAUCGUUGUGAUUAAUUAUUUUAAUAGAAUUAAUAAUAAUUAAUAUUUUCAAUGAAAUUUAAAUCAGAUCAAGAUGCAGUUUAUAUUAAAGAAGAUAAUGGGUUACAUUAAAUUUAUUUUUAGUUUAUAAGUUUUAAUAUGAAUGAUAAAUUGGAUUUGAAAGUAAUAUUAUUUAAAUUUUUAAUAUGAUUAAAGCACUAGGACAUGC